AAACCAACAGGGAUUGCCCCAGUAACGGCGAGUGAAGCGGCAAAAGCUCAAAUUUGAAAUCCCUCGGGAAUUGUAAUUUGAAGGUUCAGAAACUUCGGCACAGCAAGUCCAUUGGAACAUGGCGCCACAGAGGGUGAGAGCCCCGUAAAAGCAGCCGUUCAAUUUCUGGACCAAAGAGUCGAGUUGUUUGGGAAUGCAGCUCUAAGUGGGUGGUAAAUUCCAUCUAAAGCUAAAUAUGGGCGAGAGACCGAUAGCGAACAAGUACAGUGAUGGAAAGAUGAAAAGCACUUUGAAAAGAGAGUGAAACAGUACGUGAAAUUGUUGAAAGGGAAGGGCUUGCAAGCAGACACUACUAUUAGUAGGGCCAGCAUCAGGUGGAUGGGGCGGGAAAAAACCAAAGAAAUGUAGCUUUCGAGUAUUAUAGACUUUGGGCAUACCGCCACCGCCGCCUGAGGCCUGCGAAAAUUCUAGGAUGCUGGCGUAAUGGUUGCAAGUCGC
Molecule: ribosomal RNA, 498 nt
Filed under: Metschnikowia sp. 4-TS-2020
Lineage: Eukaryota; Fungi; Ascomycota; Pichiomycetes; Serinales; Metschnikowiaceae
Also listed under: 4 other names
Description: 26S ribosomal RNA
Rfam family: Eukaryotic large subunit ribosomal RNA
Source: RNAcentral